RNAcentral lists this ribosomal RNA (241 nucleotides) under uncultured bacterium. Its description in RNAcentral is "partial 16S ribosomal RNA". It matches the Rfam family "Bacterial small subunit ribosomal RNA", at positions 94 to 334 of the family's 1533-position model. The record is from RNAcentral.
AGCGGCGGACGGGUGAGUAACGCGUGGGUAACCGUGCCUCAUACAGGGGGAUAACAGUUGGAAACGGCUGCUAAUACCGCAUAAGCGCACAGUACCGCAUGGUACGGUGUGAAAAACUCCGGUGGUAUGAGAUGGACCCGCGUCUGAUUAGGUAGUUGGUGGGGUAACGGCCUACCAAGCCGACGAUCAGUAGCCGACCUGAGAGGGUGACCGGCCACAUUGGGACUGAGACACGGCCCAA